ACUACCACAGGGGGCACGACAUGCUCGACACCCGCCUGGGCUGCCGCCUGCUGACGCUCCAGGGCCUCCUGGAGCCGCUGAAUCUGCUCCCCUUGGCGUUGAACAGAUUCCGCUUGUUGCCGCACUACGCCAAUAAGCGCGGCCAUCUGCUCCCUAAGCUCUCCGUCGCCACUCGCUCCGGAUCGCUCGGGCUCCGCAUUCGGCUCCUCCGGCAUCGACCUUGUCUGUGGUCGUCCACGAGGUGCCAUUGCUUCCUGAAAAGAAGCAACUCGCAUUAGCUACAUGACCAACAUUACUUGACCAUACCCAAUCCGGCGAAAGCAACUUAUACAUUCGUUCUUGCCCCAAGCAUUAUGUCGUCGGCCGCCCAACACAACACUAGAAGUAGAUAAUAAAUGAAAAUUAAACUUAGCCUCUAAUCAUAUUAGAGACGUCCCAACUUAACCCAAUCACAUGCUUUCGCUAACUUUAAUUCCACGUCUCUCACGUUUCCUAGAUCCUUAAGGUCUUCCAAUCCUAAGGGUCUCUAGGUCUAUUCCUAUUCUUUCACUCUUGGCUCUGAUACCACAAUAUCUGUCACGCCCCGCGACCGAUACCAAUUUGGGCCGGCCCGAGCACGUCAAACAGACGCCGAACGGACAGAGUUUUCCCUGUCCGCCCAAGGCUCAUCACAUGUACAUUUUCAAAAAUGAAGUGCACUAGCGAAAAUAUACACAAACGGCUUACACGAGGGUAAGCAAUAGCCAUGAGUGAAAAAAAGGGAACUAAACAUCUACACAAGUAUUAUGAUUCAACUUUUGAUCACAUACAUGCAUCCACUUCAUCCAAGUUGUACAUUCAUGAUUCUUUACAUUGCUUGCAUCAUUUCUUUUACAUCACAUUGGCUUAAAAUAAACAUUACAUUCUUUUCUUUCUUCGCUUUAUACAUUAACAUCUUAAAUCAUCAAAUACAAAAGAUGAUAAAAGGGUAAACUAUUAACAAAAUGUAAUAACCCAACUCUGGUGGCCUCUGACUAUGGUACGAUACCUUUACCCCGGUCGCUCGCCGGCUCGCUCGGUCCCGGCUCUGUGGAAUAGUCGGGUGAGAACUACAACAAAGUUCCCAGUGGGGUCGGCCCGAACAUCACCGACUUUCCCACUAGGACUAACUCAGGCAUAAUAGAAAGGAUAAGCUGAAUAUAGUAACCAAUCUAUAACAUGAUGCUAAUAUGCCUGAACAAUAAAGCAAGAAGUAUGCUCAACAUAAAACUCAUGCAGAUUAUGCAAGUUCUUUGUUCUUUAUUCUUUGUUCUUUAAUCUCACGGCUAACUCGGGGGUUUCGUCACAUUAACUUGCUUCACAUUAAGUCCUUCAUCGCGGGCCCUCAGCUUCCUCCCACUAAAACCGUCCUCGGGUUUACUCCAACCCAUGAUGCAAAAACUCCGGAGCGCAUCGCCCGAGGGGGAGCAACCGCCCUCGAGCACGAAACUCAUAGCAAGUAUGAUCGAAUCCUUAGCUCUAAGGAUUAUAAGUUCAAUCAUGUCAUUACACUAACUCUAGUAUUCUUUUCAUCACUUUAUGUUGCUACUCUAGCAAUCAUGGUUCUUUGCAUUCCUUUACUUUUGGCUAUCUCUAGCAAUCAUGUUCUUUACUCUUUGCAUGUUCUUUAUGCCCCACUUUACAUUAACUUCAGUCAUUGUUAUUACUCUUUACAUCAUAUUGAUUCUUUGCCUCAUACUAACUCUAGUGUCAUUUUACUUUACAUUAGUGAAUGCCACUCGAUCUAUGCCUCAUUGUGUCACUCUGUUCUUUUGCCUCACUUUGGUGCUCACAUUUUAUCUCAUGCAUACUUAGGGUUAAACAUUCAUAGGAGUUCUCAAGCAUCUCAUUAGGCAAAUUUUACUCACAAUAUGCAACAUCACAUUACCCUCAUCACAUUUACCCUACAAUGCAUGCAACAAUGUAUAUAAUAUAUGCUCAAUUGAAUGACACAUUAGGUAUAGAAGGAAAUUCAACGAGUUUGGAUAGCACCACCCACCUCGUAGGUUCUCAAAGGUGCUCCGACGAUUUUCUUGGGAUUUUUAGACUCCUCGUUCUUCACCUGCGGCAAAACGAAGCCAUUUUGCCCAUAACUUUUUAUAGACCUUUCGUAACGUUAAUCCGAGCGCACCAACGCGUCGAAAACACCUCCAAUUAGGUUUCUAGAUGGUCAAUUGCACUUUAGAACCUUCGCAAGCAAAAGCCCCAAUUUGGGUGCCCUAGCUCAAUAGCGUAUAUCAAACCUAGGGUUUGAUCUCAUUGGAAAGCAAAAGAAGCUUCAUUCUACUCUAGGAAGUCCAUUAAAACCAUCCUUAAACAAAUCAAAACCCUAUUUAGGGUUCCACCAUGAGAGGAGGUUGAAGCUCAUCUCUAUGCUUCACUAUACACUCUGUUUCCAUGGUUUGAUCUCUAAAGGAAGCAAGAAAAAGCUUCAAAUGCUCAAAGGGUUCUAUCAAAACCAUUUCUAGGGUUUUAUCAUGAGAAGGACCAAAGCUUACCUCAAAGCUUUUCUUUCAAACACUAGAGAGGAAGAAGAUGGAGAUGCCUCACUCCUUGGUCUUCUUCUACUCCCACUCAUUCUCCUUUUUUCUUCUUUUCCCUUUCCUUCCCACUCUUCUUCCUUUCUUUCUUAUGUUCUAGAAAGAGAGGGAGAGAGAUGAGUUUGGGUGUGAGGGAAUGAGAGGGAGAGGCUCUCUAAGCAGUAAACAUGACCCAUAUGAGGCAUUUUUACAGUUAGACCCCUCAACUUUUAUCUUUUUGAACUACCCAAACUGGGCAGUUUCGCAGCGAGGGACCGGUCUCCCCGACUAGGGACCGGUCCCCGAGAGCUCUCCCUGCGGACAGCAGCGCGCACGCGCGACGCAACCGGUCUCUCACUGGGGGACCGGUCUCUCCCCGCAGGGACCGGUUCCCGAGAGCUGGUUUUCUGGGACUUAGCCGAUUUUCGGCCUUUCUCAUUUCUCACGCGUUCGGGGACCGAUCUCUCCCACCAGGGAUCGGUCCCCGUGAGCUCAAAAACUAUAAUUUGUAGAUUUUUGAUUCUUUAGCUCUCGAAAACCUUCCAUAACGCACUUUUGAUCAUUUUAACACCUUCGGACUUUCCGAAGUGUACCAUCCUCGCACCUUGGUCAAUUUGACUAAAGUUCGAUACUUAUUUUCUGAAUUCUCGGUAUAUUACAUUAGACAUAAAGGAAAUUUUGAGGUCUUCGGAAUAUACCACCCACCUUUGAUAGUUGUAGGGAUGCUACGGUUUAAUUCUUGAAAUUUUUGGGCGCCUACUCGCUCGCUUGCGGCAACACGAAGCCAAAUUAGGCUUUUUAUAUAAUAUCUUUAUCUAAACUUUUUCGUUUCGUCGAAUCGAGUUUUCUAUUACGUCGGGAAACCUCUAAUUAGGUUUCUAUAAGGUCAAUUUGCCUUAGAAACACCCUAGGGCAAAAGCCCCAAAUUUGGUGCCCUAAUGUUGCCAUUUGCUCCAACCUAGGUUUUGUUUUCUAGAACAAGCAAAAGAAAGCUUGUCCAACAUCUAGAAGCUUAUCUAGAACCAUCUAAAUCAUUUCUAGGGCAUAUAAAGCAAACCCUAGGAAUCUACCAUUAGAGCACACGGAGGAAACUAGGGUUUCCAUGUGUUCUAAGUUCUUACUAGGUUCCUAUACAUGAGAGAAGAUCAAAACCUAGUUUUCUAGGACAUAAAACCAAACCCUAGAACUAUUCUUGCACAAUGACUCACCUUAGCCCCAAGCUCUCCUAUGUCCACCUUGUAGGAGAGUUUCAAAGCCUUCUAACCCACCAAAAAUCUCCUCCAAAGCCUUCUACUCCACCUUCUCCUUGCUCUUUAGAGAGGUUUCUAGAGAGAGAGAGAGGAAAAUGAGAGCGAGUGGGUGUAUUGGCUGUGAAAGAGAGAGGGGAGAGUGUGUUGGUGUUUUAUUAUGUUGUAACAAUUGCAAUAAAACCCUCCCUUUUCUCUAAUUUGCGGCAGACUUAAUCUUGCUGUCGGGUCCAUUGUGUACCAGUACAGGUUGGGGUGUCACCGGUAACAUGAUUGCGCAGAGGCCAACCCGAGCGCUACUGUUCGGGUUUUGCCAAAGUGGACCGGUACACACCAGGGCUGUCACCGGUAACACGAUCAUUUUUCUCCAACCCGAGAGCAACUUCCUCUCGGGCAGCACUGUUGUACUAGUACAACAUCGAUGUUGUACCGGUACACUUUGCCCAGACUGCAGUUUUUGCAUCUUUUCGACUUCUCUUCGCGUCGAGCAAUGCUAAAACCUUUCUAACCCUUUUGGAAUUCAUUCUUAACCCUUCCAACAUUGUUGGAAUGCUAAGUAAAACUUGUCCAACUAUUUCUUUCGCACACUUUAGCCAAUUUGGCCAAAGUUCGAGUUUCUUUACUGAGUUUCGGUACGUUACAAUACGUCAAAUUAUUCAGAUGUGUAAGUUGAUAGAAGAUGCAUGUAUAUAUGGUCAUAUAUAUAUAUAUGGUCAUGUAUAUAUGAUCAAAAGCUUACAAAAUUGACAAUUUUUAACGGCCGGUAUGGAAUAUUUUCUAGUUUAAUGGUGCAAAAGAAUCCGAAUAGGUUGAAUUUUUGACAGAAAAUUCUAUUCACUACCUAGAUAAAGAUCAAGAACUCCGAUCUUAAAUUGAAGGAUCCGAUCAUCCAUUUUUAAGACAUUGUUCUAUUUUGACCGUUCAUUUUAUGCCUGCUUGAUGGACUUUAUUAUGAUUUUGAAAAAUUACGAAAUUUAUUUUCUAGAAGUUUCAAAUACUCUAGAUCAUAUUUAACGAAGUGGAUCGUCGAUCGGAAGCUCCAUCAUCGAAAACAACUUAUGUGUACGAAGGGCCCAAUACUUAUAAUAGUAUAGUAGCCCUACUCUCUCUCUCUCUCUCUCUAUAUAUAUAUAUAUAUAUGAAAAUAGUCAAUGAAUUGUAUGGACUUUUUGGGUUCCAUAAGACGUGAAAAUCGAGAAGGCCCUGGUCAACAUAAAUUCUCCAAAGAUAAUUUAGGAUUGUCAUAUCUUGAGCCCUGCAAGUUGGACUUGCUCGAGCACAUACAAUAGAUAUCCACCGAAUGGGCAAGACUUUUCCUUACCUACAUGAAGUGGAAAUAUAAAGCAACUUGCACAACACAUACAUGAUAUGAGUAUAUAAAAUAUCAAAGUAUUUAGCUACUAAAUUAAAACCAUUACAAUUUAUGUAAUAUACGGCAUCCUGGAGUUGCGAUGUCAAUUUUGAUCUAUUGGAUCAAAGUGUAGAUUGAGCUAGUUGGACAUCAUCCCCGAGUGACUUUGGACGCGUGAGAAUGAAUUCCGAUGAUAAAUAAGUGUUUCGGCGCAAAUUGGGCGCGAAACGAAAUGUAAAUAAAAUUUUCGGAAUUCUGACGCUAACUUUGAUUAAAAGAAUUAAAGCGAGGCUCGGAGAUAAUUUAUGGAGUACCCAAGUUAGUCUGGAAUGACUCGUGCCGAAAUCGGAGCGAAAACAGAAGAACUGGAAUUUUCUGUAAAGAACGGGACUGAGAAAUUAGCAGAAAAUGCACAGUGUCAGAAAAUUAUGAAAAUUGGCGGAGAUGUCAGGAACAUUGGUAUGAGGCCAAAUUUCAAGUUUCACAUUAUUCUGACACCUGUAGAGAGAGAAAUAGCAUCCGAAAGUUAUCUGAUGAAGAUUACAGUUCGGGACAGUUCGCAGUGACCAAACGGGGUCGAAACUGAAAUGUUAAAAUUUCAGUGGACUUGUUAAGUAAAAACGAACAUGUCUGUCAAAUUUGAGCUCAAUCGAACUUUCGGAAGGGCUUACGAAAGGUAUUUAAUCCGCGCGGCUAAACGGAUAAGUCGAGGGGCAUUAUGGUAAUUAACCUAUGCCUUAGUGGAUUUCCACUAAACCUGCCAGGCAGCCCCCCUCCAUCCUUAUCCCCUCUCCUUGCUGCCAUACGUAGAGAGAGAGAAGGAGAAAAGAAGAGAAAAGAAAAGAAGAGAAAGGAGAAGAAAAGAGAAGAAGAAGAAGAAAUAGAAGAAGAAGAAAAGAGGUAGGUUUUACCUCUCUCCCUCUCAUCCCUCUCUCUCUGUAGUAACAGCAGCAGCAGCAGCCCUUGCUGCUGCUGCGAGCAGGAACAGCAGCAGCAAGCUGCUGCUGAAGCAGCAGCAGUAGCAUCAGCAGCUGCUGCUGGAGCAGCGAGCAGCAGCAGCUGCUGGAUCAGCAGCAGCAGCUGCUGGAUCAGCAGCAGCAGCAGCAAGCUGCUGCAGCAGCAGCUGCUCAGCCAGCUGCUGAGCAGCAGCAGCAGCAGCAGCUGCAGCAGCCAUCAGCAGCAGCAGCAGCACAGCAGCAGCAGCCUCAGCAGCAGCUACCAGCAGCAGCUGCAGCUUAGCAGCAGCAGCAGCAUGCGCAGCAACAGCAGGAAAGAAAAGAAAGAAAAGAAAGAAAGAAAGGAAGAAAAGAAAGAAAGGAAGAAAAGAAAAGAAAGAAAAGAAGAAAAGAAAGAAAGGAAGAAAAGAAAGAAAGCCAGAGAGAAAAGAAAGAAUUAAGAAAGAGAGAGAUCGAAAAUAAGUUAGGAUUUCGAUAAAAACGGGGUUUUUAUAGAAAUUGACCCCGGCAAUGCACUUUUGCAAAGUAAGAGUCCUAAUGCGAAAUUGACCGCGUGUAAACCAAAUUGAGGGUAAAAGAAACGCGUUGGCGAAGUCGGUUCGGCAAUCCGACGAACCUACGCAAAGAUAUCGCCAAAAGAAGUUUUUCGGCUAUAGUUGCCGUUUUAUAUAGCAUUGAAAUGCUAAUUUGUAAAAUAUGAGUAUUGACUCUAGUUUAACCUUUUCUAAUCCUUUAUAAGUAAAAAGUAAACAUGCCCAAGAGUCUAAAUUGACUUUUCGACAGGUCGACGACGCGCUAAUUACGGUAGCGGCCGUUCUAGUCCUAUUUGCACGGAGUCGCGAGAGAUAGUCGUCGACGCUUUCUGAAACGUGGAUUCUAGUUGAUUGACACCACUACAGGUGGGUGGUGCUAUCCGAAGUCAUCGAAUCCCUCUUUAUGUCUAUGCUAUUCUAUUGAGCAUAUCUAUUUAUGUGAAUUGUAUCAUAUUCAUGCAUUAUAGGGAAAAGUGUUAUUGUGCAAUUGAAUUUAUGUUAAUGUAAAGAACAUGUGGGCCAUAGAAUAUGAACAUAGAACCCUAUAAAUGUGUGAAUUGUACUGUGGACUAUGAUAAUAGUAAAUUCGGUGACAUUCUAACUAGAGAUUUAGUUAGCAUCAAAAAAAUGGAAUUGUGAAACUAGCAUAAAGAACUAGUCAGAGUUACUUGUGGCAUUGUCAGUUGUUGUGAAUCCUCUGAAGGAGGAUCAGAUCUUACUCACAUAGUCUGUUUCUUAGCUUGGUGGUGGUCGCUCCCCCCAGGCAGUGAGCUCCGGAGUAGUCACUUGUUGGGCUAACGUACUUGCCCCAGGACUAACGUACUUGUCCGACAGACGGUCCCAUCGGGAGGCAGCUUAGGGCCCGUGAGGGAUUUCGUUGGUGAGUUAUUGUUAACCAAAGGGUUAACCACUGAAUUGGGUAAAUUUAUGGGCUAACGUACUUGCCCCAGGACUAACGUACUUGUCCAGCUGUUAACCAGAGGGUUAACCAAAAGAUUGGGUAAAGUUAAUGAAAAGCAUGCAUGCAUAUUUACAGUUUUCAUAUCUGUUACUUCUUUCAGCUUUGUACAGGCAUUGUAGUAGUUACAUGUUAUAGUUGGUUACUAUCUGCUUACUUUUCUUGCCUACAUAUGCCUGAGUAGACCUAGUGGGUGAGUCGGCGAGGUCGGCAGCCGAACCCACUGGGAACUUUCUUGUAGUUCUCACACCACUAAC
This 7839-nucleotide long non-coding RNA is filed under the name Ananas comosus (pineapple). RNAcentral describes it as "long non-coding RNA (ACOM_LNC031433)". The record is from RNAcentral. Lineage: Eukaryota; Viridiplantae; Streptophyta; Magnoliopsida; Poales; Bromeliaceae.